UACGAAGGGGGCUAGCGUUGUUCGGAAUUACUGGGCGUAAAGCGUGCGCAGGCGGCUUCUCAAGUCAGGGGUGAAAGCCCAGAGCUCAACUCUGGAAUUGCCUUUGAGACUGAGGGGCUUGAGUACGAGAGAGGUGAGUGGAAUUCCCAGUGUAGAGGUGAAAUUCGUAGAUAUUGGGAAGAACACCGGUGGCGAAGGCGGCUCACUGGCUCGUAACUGACGCUCAUGCACGACAGCGUGGGGAUCAAACAGG
This 253-nucleotide ribosomal RNA is filed under the name uncultured bacterium. RNAcentral describes it as "partial 16S ribosomal RNA". It matches the Rfam family "Bacterial small subunit ribosomal RNA", at positions 524 to 776 of the family's 1533-position model. The record is from RNAcentral.